CCAAGGGGGCAGCUACGGGAAGCGGUUUGCAACCUUUUCCGCCGGCGGCGGCUGGGAGAUGGGAGACCCAGGGUCGGAGAUAAUAGAAUGUGUCCCUCCAGCUGGGCCUGAGGCGUCCGCGUCAACACCGGAGGAAACUGAAGAUGACAUUCAGUUUGUUAGUGAGGGACCAUCAAGACCUGUUCUUGAAUACAUUGAUUUGGUCUGUGGUGAUGAUAAAGAGCCUAGCACCUAUCAUAGUGAUAUUUUGUUCCCUAAAAUGCCAAAACGACAGGGUGAUUUUGUGCAUUUUUUAAAUGCAAAGAAGGUGAAAACAGACACAGAAAAUAACAAUAGGAACAAAAACCAUUGUGGAUUGUCUAAGUCUAAGGAAUCAAAUUUCAGAUACGUCAAACAACCUGUCAUUGAAGAAAAACCAUCAUGUUUAUCAAAGGAAGAAAUGGAUAAUCUUGUGCUUCCAGAUUGUUGGAAUGAAAAACAAGCAUUUAUGUUUACAGAACAGUACAAAUGGCUUGAAAUCAAAGAAGCUUAAACAUGAACAUGAACGAAUUUUAAAAUUUAAAAUGAAAGCAUACUGAAAAAGAAUCAUAUAGAACUGCAGAAGCUAGUCCUACAACUGGGAUAGUAAACAAAAAGACUGGAAGAAGGUGUGUUGCAGAUUUCACAGUAUCCAAGCUGAAUAAGUCCAAAGCUGAACUUACGUCUCACCAUAUCUGUUUUGGAGAAUGGCACCAUUAUCCACCUUGUUUUUCAAACUCGAAAGAAGAUAUUUCAAAUCUUUUUUCUUCUUGCCUUUUCUCUCCCACCUUUUAAAUAUCUCUGAAUCUAUAUUUUCCUUGCUAUCAUCACUGCCUUUGUUUCUCUUGCUUAGAGUACAAUAAUAACUUGCUAACAAGCCUCCCUACCUUCAUUCUUGCCCUUUUCUAAUCCAUCCUCCACAAUAACUCAGGAAUGGCCAUUCUGAAAUACACAUGUAUUCUUAAAACUUGUACUGGUCAAGAAGAAAUUCAGACUCAGAUACAGAAAACCCAACUUAAAUCACUUGAAUGAGCUUAUCAUUUUGAAUAACAAGAAAUCUGGAGAUGGCUGCAGGCUUUGCUUGAGUAGCUCAAUGGUGUCAUUGCUGCGUUAUCUGGGAUGCUUUUGGCCUUUCCCUUAGGGUUACAGGAUAGCUGGCACAGUUUUACACAUGCUGGAUUUAGGGCAAGAAGGCAAGGGGUAGAACAAGCUCUGGAUAUCAGAAAAUCAAAAGCUUUACCAGAAGCCUUUUCAAGUAGAUUUGCAUUUCACUGGCCAGAACUGUGUCAACAUAACCAUCCCUCAUUGCAGUAGAGGCUUGGAAUGUGAACUUUUACCUUUCCUAGCUUCUGUAAUAAAGGUAGGCAAGGGGGAAGGGGAAUGGAUGGUAGCUUAGCCAGUCUAGCUAUGAGGUUAACCUUUUUUCUCCCCUACUCAAAAUCCUUCGUUAGUUCCCCACUUUCUUCAAGAGAAUAAAGUUCAACCUUUCUGGUUCCCUUAUAAUAAGAGCUCAAUUUUUUGUCUUUCUCCCCUACUAGCUAGUGACUUUCUUGAAAAGAGUCUAUAACCAUGAUUAUUAACAAUGUCUAGCACACAGUAGAAGCUCAGUUAAUGCUUGCUUAGUAUGGGAUAUUUCCUACAUGUCAGUUCAUUGUUUAUUUAUUUGGUUGCACCGGGUCUUAGUUGCGGCAGGUGGACUGCUUAGUUGCAGCUGGCAGGCUCCUUAGUUACAGCUUGUGAGCUCCUCAGUUGUGGCAUGCAAAUUCUUAGGUGGGCCACCAGGGAAGUCCCCAUGUCCAUUCAUUUUUAUGAAUUGUUUACAUCUCCAAAUAGUACUAUUUCCCAGUGACCUUCUAAGGGAAAUAAGAUACUCUUCAGUUUUAAAUUUCAGGUAUAUAGUUACGCUUUAAUUAACCUUUCAUGUUUACUUUGAAGAGAAAUUGAGGUACUCUUUUUGUUAUUAAAGAUACGUUACUUUUUUUAAUAUUUAUUUUACUUUAUUUAUUUGGUUGCGCCGGGUCUUAGUUUGCAGGCAGCAGCAGCAGGCAGGCUCCUUAGUUGUGGCAUGCAUGUGGGAUCUAGUUCUCUGACCAGGGAUCAAACCCAGGUCCCCUGCAUUGGGACCGCAGAGUCUUAGCCACUGCACCACCAGGGACAUCCCAUAACGUACUCUUAAAAGUGAGUUGGGGGACUUUCUAGGUGGCGCAGUGGUUAAGAAUCUGCCUGCCAAUUCAGGAGACACGGUUCAAUCCCUACUCCAGGAAGAUCCCACAUGCUGCGGAGCAACUAAGCCCGUGCACCACAACUAUUGAGCCCAUGUGCCACAGCUGCUAAAGCCCGCGCACCUUAGAGCCUGUGCUCCACAACAAGAGGAGCCAUGGCAAUGAGGAGCCUGCAUGCCACAACAAAGCGUAGCCCCCGCUUGCUGCAAGUAGAGAAAGCCCGUGCGCAGCAACGGAGACCCAACACAGCCUAAAUAAAUAAAUACAUAUAUUUUAAAAAAAUGAGUUGGAAAUAUUUUCCGUUUGUUUAAUAUUGUAGAGAUGUUCAUGGUUUGGACAGAAAAUUUUGAACAAGAUUUUUGUAUUUAGUGUUUUUUUUAUAAUUGCAAUUGAUAAUGUGGAAAACAAAAACGUAACCAACUUACAUUAUUAUAAUCAGUACUGCUACCUGCUUUCAUUGCUUAAAUUUGUGUUUUAAUUUACAAGCACAUUGGUACCAAGUGAUAUUUCUUUACUUGUCAUGAAUUAAUGAGGAAGGUGAGGAACAGUCUUAAUAUGUAAUUUAUAUUCAUCCACAUUAGGGGAAAAUAGUGCACUUUGGUAAUCUUCAAGUUUUGAGAAGUGGUGCAGAUUUGACCAAAAAGCAUGAAAAAUGGUUAAAUAGGCAAAUACAAAAGACCUUUUUUUUCUUGUUAGUUUCUUUAAAAGAAAGCAAAAGUUGUAGCAUUAUUUUGUCAUUUGUACUAGACACAUGACAACUAGAGCAUAAAAUAGUGGGGGGUUGGUAUAGUGAAGUAUAUGGUUGAAAAAUUUCUAUGCAUUACAUGAAGUGGUAAAAUAUUAACUACAUAGAAAGAAAAGGUUGUAUAACUAAAAAAUGUAAAUAAAAUGGAAGUUUUAAAAAUGUUUAAAUAUUUUUUAAAGGUAGGAAAAGGUACAGAGGAAGAAAAACAGUGAAUACAAACAAAACUAUUAUAAUUAUAGGUUUAAAAAUAGCCAUAACAGUAAUUACAUUAAAUAAUAAUGGUCUACAUUAACACCAAUUAAUAAGGUAGAGAUUACCAAAAUGAAUAAAUAGCAAGACCCAGUAAUGUCUGUCUAGAGGAGAUAGAUAUAAAAAUCAGAAGUUGAGAGUAAUUGGAUGGGGAAAUGUACUUUGGGAUUCCUCCUGCUUGAACAUUAUCUGUAAACAUAGGAAGACUGAAAGAUGGAGAGAAGGCAGACCAGCUAUAGACGAUAGAACUCACAGAAUGAUAGAAUGGUGAGUUCCUUGACUUUUCUGUUUGCCUCAUAUAUCCCCAGGCUUGGAGGUAAAGAAGGUAGCAACCCGAAAAUGCCAAUGGAUGCAGACAGAAAAACCCUGCAAAAGCCUUCCCUCUCUAUUCACAGGGUCAGGGAAGGGCAGGCUAGCAAGACAGAAGAAAUGUUAUUAUACACAAUAACCUCUCUGCUUCCGCCAAACACCACAGAGAACACUGUAGCUUCAUCCAGACCACCAAAGGCUAAGUGGGGAGCCUGAACUGCCAUCUUUGCCAGCUUAUAAUGAAGUACUGCUGACCUGAAUCCUGCCCCACUAGGUUGAUGUCACAGGAGGCCUAAUGGAGAAUCAUGACUUUUACUUUUGCUCCACGUUAAGGAACCCUUUCUCCCAACUUCAGAUGUUGAUAGAAACUAACUAGGGAGUCUGGACUUCCUUACCACCUGGGAGUAACCAGGCAACAUACAACAUCCCCUUUUUGCUCCUAAAAUAGUGUCUGCAGAAACCAACUGAAGCAGUAGGUUUAAGCUCUAGAGUCUCAUAAUAUAAUAACCAAUAUGUCUAUAUCUGUUUCAAUAAAAAGUCAUGUCAUUCCUAGAACCAGGAACUUUUUAUUGAAAAAAGACAAUAGAUACCAACACUGACUUGCCAUAGAUGCUAGAAUUAUCUGACACAGAUUUUAAAGCAGUUGUCAUUAAAUGCUUCAAUAAGUAAUUAAGAACAUGUUUUUGAAACAAAUGAAAAUGUAGAAUGUCUCCAUACAAAAACUAGGAAGUCUCAACAAAGAAAUAGAAGACAUAAAGAAGAACCAAAUAGAAAUUUUAGUAAUGAAAAAUACAAUAACAAAAAACUCAAUGAAUUGACUCAAGAAUGGAUGGGACAGAGGAAGGAAUCAGUGAACUUGAAUGUAAAACAAUACAGAUUGCACAGUCUGAACAACAGAGAGGAAAUAGACUGGGAAAGAAAAGAAUCCAACCACAGGGACCUGUGGGACUAUAACAAAGAAUCUAAUAUUCAGGUCAUCAGAGAACCAGAAGGAAAGGAGGAGGGCAGGGCUGGAAAAAGUAUUUGAAGAUAAAUUAUCUGAAAAUGGCCCCCUCUGAGCAAAGACAACUCUCAAUUCAAGAGGCUGAGUGAAUUUAAACAGGAUAAAUCCAAAGAAAUUCACACCAACAUAUAUCAGAGUCAAACUCUGGAAAACUAAAGACAAAAAUCUUGACAGCAUUGAGGACUAAAGGCACCUUAUGUAUAGAGAAAAAUAAUUUGGAUGACGCAGCAUUGUGUCAUUUUUCAAAUACAGAACUGUCAACAUAGAAUAUCUGGUGAAAAUAUCCUUCAAAAAUGAAGGGGAAAUCAAAACAUUCUCAGAUGAAAGAAAACUAAGGAAAUUUGUCAUCAACAGACCAAAGCUGAAAUGAAUGUUUAAAGGAAGUUCUGUAAAGAAACCAUUAAAGGAGGAAUCUUGGAACAUCAGAAAGGAAGAAAAUAUAGUAAGUAUAAAAUCAGGGUAAGCGUGAAGCAGUAUUGUGUUAUUUGAAAUUGAACUUAGCUUUGUUGUAAAUAUAUGUUGCAAACACUAGAGAAACCACUGAAAUUUUUAAAAAGUAUAAUUGAUACAGUAAGAAGAUAAAAUAGGAUCAUGUAAAAUGCUCAAUUAAAAUCGGAGAAGGCAGGAAAAGAGUGGGGAAAAAAAAGCAAAAAUUAAAAAAAAAGAAAGGGGCUUCCCUGGUGGCGCAGUGGUUAAGAAUCUGCCUGCCAAUGCAGGGGACAUGGGUUCAAUCCCUGGUCCCAGAAGAUCCCACAUGCCUCGGAGCAACUAAGCCCGAGUGCCACAACUACUGAGCCUAAAGCUGGUGCUCCUCAACAAAAGAAGCCACUGCACUGAGAAGCCCUCGCACUGCAACAAAGAGUAACCCAGCUCACCACAACUAAAGAAAGCAUGCGUGUAGCGAUGAAGACCCAAUGCAGCCAAAAAAUAAAUUAAAAAAAAGAGGAGAAAAGAACAAGGUAACACAUAGAAAAGUUACAAAUGUAGUAUAUGUUAAUCCAUCUAUACCAAAAGUCACCUCAUUUUUUGAUUUUUAUUUUUUAGCUGUACCGCAUGGCUUGUGGGAUCCUAGUUCCCCAACCAGGGAUUGAACCUGGGCCCCCUGCAGUAGAAGUGCAGAGUCCUAACCACUGGACCACCAGGGA
Hippopotamus amphibius kiboko is the source of this 5691-nucleotide RNA transcript. It is a transcript of the gene named KIAA1586 ortholog, with no coding region annotated. Lineage: Eukaryota; Metazoa; Chordata; Mammalia; Artiodactyla; Hippopotamidae. The transcript has 6 exons. The record is from RefSeq and is a predicted model, not a curated record.